Molecule: long non-coding RNA, 1435 nt
Filed under: Salmo salar (Atlantic salmon)
Lineage: Eukaryota; Metazoa; Chordata; Actinopteri; Salmoniformes; Salmonidae
Description: lncRNA (ENSSSAG00000102966.1)
Source: RNAcentral
GGAUCAUUUCGCAACACCUACGGCUUCCACUAGAUGUCAACGAUCUUUAUAAAGUUGUUUGAAGCGUCUAUGAUAAACAGAGAGCAAAUUAGAAUCCAAGGAAGUUGACAUGUCAUCACUUCAUUUUUUUGCGCCUGCGCAUAAAUCUGAGAAACGUGAGUUUUGUCUUCAUUGUUUAUCUAGACAUAAGGAUAGGUUGUGUGAAAAUAUUACUGAUGUUUAACGUUAAAAAUGGACCAAAAGAUUAAUGCUAAACAACAUUUGACAUGUUUGAACGAACAUAAAUAGAUUAUUUACUAGGUUUUUUUAGCUUUUCGGCGUGAUUUUACAGUCCCCCCACCACGUUUUGUGGGAGCAUAAUGAACGCUAAGUACUUGGUGUUAUUUGGACAUAAAUUAUGAACUUUGUCAAAAGAAACCACAUUUGUUCCGGACCUGGGAUGCCUUCCGGACCUGGGAUGCCUGCCUUCUGAUGGAGAUAAUCAAAGCAAUUGAGGAGUGGUAAGAUGGCAUGGAUUAACAGAUGCCACCUGCUAAGAUAGAAGUUGGUCGCCUUUGUAUUAUUGAAACGCAGACAGGGAAGGCAGUUAUGGGUGCAUCCCAUAAAAGGGGGCAUGGGCAAUACUACCACCUUGUCCAGGAGCUGCUCUUGGACCAUGCCUGACAUCACUGAUACAUCCGGAUGAGUGCAGAAGAGAUGGAGUCUUUUGUUGGCCCAGACCUCACCAAGCCGACGACCAACUACAGGACCCCAAUAGAGCCAAAGCAAAAACUAGCUGUCACUCUAAGGAGGGGAUUAUCAAUGUGACUGGGAUUCUUGGACCCAGCUCUCUUAAGAAAAUGUACUGAAGCUGUCAUCCCAGCUAUGUGUUGGAGACCUAAGUUCUGGUACUUGGCAUCUGGAGACUUUAUUUGCAGUCUGACCUUGACCUACCGUCUUGGAUUCGAGACAGUAUUGCAGUGCAUUAUGUAGACCUGUGAGGCCAUAGAGAGGAGGACCAUAGCGACCCAUCUGCCACGACCCACUGACGAAACCUGGAGACAAACUUCUCAAGAGUGUAAUGAAAAAUGGGACUUUCCCAAUUGUUUGGGAUUGGUUGAUGGAAAAUAUUAUGAUCACCAAACCACCAAACUCAGGAAGACGGUUUUUUUUUUUAUUAUAAAGGAACCUUCUCCGUGGUGCUACUCGCCCUUGUGGAUGCUAAAUACCACUUCACAGCUAUUGAGGUGGGGGAUUUUGGGAGAAACAGAGACGGCAGAGUAAAUAAAAAAAUUAAAAAAACAUCCUCUCACUGUCAACUGCGUUUUAUUUACAGCAAAAUUAACAUGUACAAAUAUUUGUAUUUACAUAAGAUUCAACAACUGAGACAAAAACUGAACAAAUUCCACAGACAUGUGACUAACAGAAAUGGAAUAAUGUGUCCCUGAACAAAGGG